ACAAGAUGGUCGCAUGUUUGUCUG
Molecule: non-coding RNA, 24 nt
Filed under: Arabidopsis thaliana (thale cress)
Lineage: Eukaryota; Viridiplantae; Streptophyta; Magnoliopsida; Brassicales; Brassicaceae
Source: RNAcentral